GGGAACUCAUCAUAACAUACAGUUUGCUCCUAAGUUCAGGUUCUGCGUGACUCAAAUUGAAUAACAAAUAAUAUAUGGAAAGUGGCACGCUGUAUGUAAAAAGCUUGUGAGCUGAAGAAGCAGCUACAUUCACAGCAAAUCUCGAGCACUGUCAGUCAUCCAUUGAGCUCAGCUACUUGGUGUGACAGUCAUUACAAGACGGGAGUUUUACAGGCACUUAAAUGCUGUCCUCAAACAGUUACUUGCUGGCAAAUCAACAGUGUGUGGUCAGGACAGAACAAAGUGUUUCUUGAAGAGAUGAUGAAUCAACAUCAGAGUCUGCCCAAGCAUAAAGGACCAGUGCAAAACACUUUCUGACUUCCUGUGCUGAGAAUUACUGUAUCCCCACAGCAGUUUUUCCAUGACAGGAUGCUAAGCGCUACCUAAAGUCCUUCUGUGGAUCCAACAAGUGGAUCGAUGCAAUAGGAAAGCAGAAGCAUCAGAGGAUGAAAGCUGGCAAGCCUCCCUGGGCCAUUGAAGGCUUUUUGGGCUCAGCUGCUUGCUCUGUCAGAGACAACCAUCCCACAACAUCAGCAGGAGAGGCACUCAGCCCCAGCUCCCUCACUGCCAAUCCAGCAGUGCCAGGCCAAAAGGGCCAUCCAGCCAUUAAAAGGCAGAUCCCACAGACCACCCCAAAGCUAAUCCUGUUGUUUUGUCACCUCCCUGCAGAACUGUUUUCCUCACUGUUUUCUCACUGGACUGCAGACUGUUUAUUCUUAUGUAUGCUGUUUCCUCUUGUGCAAAGAAACUGAAUAUAGCAACAAAACUUCCAGUAUAAACUUACUGUUCUUGCUACCAGGCACUCUGCCAAAUAAUCACUGAAACUCGGAAGGGACAGGUAAUAAAACAUAGGAGAAAUAUGCAGGUGAAUUCCAUAUUCACUUAUCCUCAGUAGUGAUAUUAUCACUAACAGUGAUAGUGAGCUACAAGUGAUCCAUUGCUUUGCCAGAUAUAAAUAAGGGCUGGGCUUGACAUGCUUUUGAAUGAAGCCUCUAGUUUGGCAAUCAAAGUGUCUUGAGUGCAUCCGCCACCCACACUUUAACCCAUUGCUAGUGUAGUCCUGACACAAGCGCAGUAGCAACAGCUGAAUGUGAAAUGCCUGUACAUCCAGAUAUAUCAAAGUGAACCAGUCUUGAUCCCAGAGAGUGGUAAUUGACCUCAGGCAUAGGAGCCAGGAGGCUUAAACAUGACAUUUUGGUAAUUGCAGCUUUUCUCAGCAGCAGCAGGGGAAGGGAAACAUUUAUUGCAUGCUCCUAGAAAUUCUUAGCAAUCAAAGCCACUGACAGACAGCAUCGGAGAGGCGGCAGCGGAGUCAGUUCUAGGAAGCGACACCUACUAAUGAAAAAAUACUUUCUGUUAGAGAGCUGGGAUGCUCUUCCAGACCGCCUCCAGCAAGCUUGCCUGCCAAAUGCCAAAGAGCUGUAGCGCUGAGCAUCUUUUAAGAAGGGAGAGGAAGUAUUUCACUGAAAUCUACUGAGCAGAUCUGUAAUGAGCUUGUUUGGCUCAGUGAUUAGUUAGUGGCACAGUCUUUUAUCUUUGAAAACCUUGCCGCUUCCAUUUUCCUUUUUAUUCUUGUGAAGCAAGCUAACUAAGUUGACACAGCCAGGAACUGUAUUAUGAUUCGUAAUUGUAGGACUAAGAAUCUAUUUUCAUUGACUGGACAACAGACAGAAAGUGACUCUGCAGCUGACUCCUGGGACAGCAUGUAAGAUAUGUGUGGUAUGUGGUAAGCUUUGUAGUCUUCUUUGGCAGAGGAAAAUUCCCUAGAUAAGGAGUGGUAGGGAGGAAAAGGAGGAACCAAUAGCAAACUUUACAACAGCAGAAGUCUUCAGAGAAAGCUGAGGUUUGUGUGAGAAUCUUAUCUUCUAUGGAAAGAGUCAUUCUCUUAAGCUAAAACAGUAAGUACAUGUUUAAACAUCCAAACUUGAAUCAUUGUGCCUCAAGUAAACCCCACAAGCACAGAUGCAAACAACCCUACUUCACCUCUGGUCUUUCUGGAUCAAAGUAUGUCUCAAGGCAGAUCUUACAACACCUACUGAAAAGCCAGAGCAGUGCUCUCUCCAUUGUAAAAGAAUGAAUAGUGUUGUUACUCAAUAAAUGUGUAAAUCCCCGGUGAUUUACAGGCACUUUAAGCCAUGUAUCAAUCUCAUAUUCACUCUGAAUUGCAGACUUUUUGAAAUCAGACAUUCUCAUUAAAUGUUACCACCUAUUUGGGUCACCCUGGUUUAUAGAACAAUAUACCCAGCAAAUUAAACUUUAUUUCAGAAGUUCAUUAGUCUGAAAGAAAAUGAAAUGUGGGCUCAGUCACCUUUGUACAGAUGAGUCUAGCAUGUGAGUACUUUAAUUCAUAAUUUCCCUAGCCAAUAGAUCCACCUCAGAGGGUUUUUUGGUAAGCUGAUGUGUUUAUACUUCCAACUCAGAUAGCUGGUCUAUGUAUUUCCAUAGGUUAGUAGACUUUGAAGGCACUGCCAGACAGCUACUAUGCAAAGCUGCAGGAAGAGAGACCUGCAGGGGACAGCAGGCUCAGGUGACAACAGCCCUUAUCUGUUCUUGCCCUCUGUGUCCUGCCUGCACAUUGCUCUCACAGUGCCCUAAUGGCAACGCUCCCAGCAUACAUCAGGUUUUGGUAUGAGCAGGAGCUGAUGCAGUCACACCCCUUGCAAUAGGGGUGUGCAAUAGGGGACCAAACAUCCAGCAAACUUCUGCCUCAGCCAGUGGACAUACUGGUGCUCCCCAUGCCCAGCUGAGAGCAUGGGAAAGAUCUGUGCUCUCACACAAGCCUAGCUUGACAGUCUGCUAUAAAGUAACAGUUGGUGAUAUAUGCUUUCAGCACAGUGAGAUAAGUGAUAAACAUGGAUAUAAAAGCACAUUAACAACAAAACUAAUAAAAUACAACACAACAGCACAAUGGUCAUAGGACGUAACACAAGACACAAUAUGCCAUUUGCAGAUGGUGCAUGUACCAUAAAAACGUCAUUGCAGUGAUGUCCAGCAGAUCGUUCUAUUUCUGUUGCAAUUCUGAAUAUCCAGCCCACAUCAUGUUGGAUAGCAAUGCCCACCUGUUUUUGGCAAAUAAUAGCCUUUUCAUAUUUAGUGAUUGAUGUUUCCAGGCCUUCAUUUUGAAAAUACACUGUGUUACAUAUUAUGCCUAAGAAUAAGGUCCAAGUUGGAAUCCUACAGAAGUACUUUAGGGUCUCCAGAAUGAGUUACAACACUGCUCUAGAACGUAAUUGCUUAACAGAGAAAUCUAGAUUCAAAUCUACCCUAAGGCUGUAGAUUACAUUUCGUUCUCCUUUUUUCUUAGGCCUUCAUGAGUCU
Gallus gallus (chicken) is the source of this 3357-nucleotide long non-coding RNA. RefSeq lists it as uncharacterized. Lineage: Eukaryota; Metazoa; Chordata; Aves; Galliformes; Phasianidae. The record is from RefSeq and is a predicted model, not a curated record. The transcript is spliced from 3 exons.